Molecule: transfer RNA, 71 nt
Filed under: Streptomyces sp. SID2131
Lineage: Bacteria; Bacillati; Actinomycetota; Actinomycetes; Kitasatosporales; Streptomycetaceae
Also listed under: 2 other names
Description: tRNA-OTHER
Source: RNAcentral
AGCCCUAUGGGUGCCGCUCGGCCGAACUUGUAAAGCGGGGGUCGUCGGUUCGAACCCGACAGGGGGCUCCA